RNAcentral lists this ribosomal RNA (397 nucleotides) under uncultured bacterium. RNAcentral describes it as "bacterial SSU rRNA". It matches the Rfam family "Bacterial small subunit ribosomal RNA", at positions 28 to 429 of the family's 1533-position model. The record is from RNAcentral.
GACGAACGCUGGCGGCGUGCUUAACACAUGCAAGUCGAGCGGUAAGGCCCUUUCGGGGGUACACGAGCGGCGAACGGGUGAGUAACACGUGGGUGACCUGCCCUCAGCUCUGGGAUAAGCCUGGGAAACUGGGUCUAAUACCGGAUAUGACUCCAUGACGCAUGUUGUGGGGUGGAAAGCCUUGUGCGGCUGAGGAUGGGCCCGCGGCCUAUCAGCUUGUUGGUGGGGNGAUGGCCUACCAAGGCGACGACGGGUAGCCGGCCUGAGAGGGCGACCGGCCACACUGGGACUGAGACACGGCCCAGACUCCUACGGGAGGGCAGCAGUGGGGAAUCUUGCGCAAUGGGCGAAAGCCUGACGCAGCGACGCCGCGUGAGGGAUGACGGCCUGGUGUAAC